UACGAAGGGGGCUAGCGUUGCUCGGAAUCACUGGGCGUAAAGGGCGCGUAGGCGGCGUUUUAAGUCGGGGGUGAAAGCCUGUGGCUCAACCACAGAAUGGCCUUCGAUACUGGGACGCUUGAGUAUGGUAGAGGUUGGUGGAACUGCGAGUGUAGAGGUGAAAUUCGUAGAUAUUCGCAAGAACACCGGUGGCGAAGGCGGCCAACUGGACCAUUACUGACGCUGAGGCACGAAAGCUAGGGGAGCAAACAGG
Molecule: ribosomal RNA, 253 nt
Filed under: uncultured bacterium
Lineage: Bacteria
Description: partial 16S ribosomal RNA
Rfam family: Bacterial small subunit ribosomal RNA
Source: RNAcentral